Molecule: transfer RNA, 74 nt
Filed under: Candidatus Avigastranaerophilus faecigallinarum
Lineage: Bacteria; Bacillati; Candidatus Melainabacteria; Candidatus Gastranaerophilales; Candidatus Gastranaerophilaceae
Description: tRNA-Arg
Source: RNAcentral
GCCUCUGUAGCUCAGCUGGAUAGAGCGCUUCCGUCCUAAGGAAGGCGUCGCACGUUCGAGUCGUGUCAGGGGUA